UCAAAGAAAAUGCACCAGAACAACAGCAAACAAGAAUACUAAAUGAACCCAUUCUAUGCAAUUAUACUAAAAAACAUUAAACAUAUAUUGGUUCAACAAGUUUUGUAGUUCAUCAAAUUCUAAAAAUCUGCAAACAAAUUAGAGAAUGAGUAUCAACAAUGACUUUAACCUACUUGGAAGGAAGUGAAUGAGUUGCAAACUCAAAAAUCCAGAGGUUUGAACAAGUCGUGCCCGUGGCGGAGGUACUCUUCAAAUGAGGUGCGAUGAUGGGUUUGAAGAGGGAAAGGAAUGGAAGCAAAGAUUUGGCUAGGAGUAAAUGAGUGUGUGAAACGUGAGUGGAAUGUUGAGAGAUUAGUGUGGGAGAUAAGAGAAUGUAAGAGUGAGGAAGGGGUUGGAGGUGUAGACGGUGAUGGCUUAGUAGAGAGAGAAAGGGAAAGUGAUUGGAAUUAGGUCUAGAAAAAAUUAAAGUGGGUCAAAAGGGUUGGUCUUAAACCAUUAGACCACGUCGCUAGCAUUGGGCUACACGAUUUUGUGCAGCUGGGUGGCGUAUCAGAAGAAUGCAAAGGAUGGCCUCUGUUGGUGUGGCGCGCAGGUGCCACGCAGGUACAACCCAGCGAUAGUCUGGUAGAAGCAAUUUUUGUAGUAGUUUGGAAACUCCACUUGGAUUUUUGACAUUUGCCGUGCAUUCAAUCACAAUCAAGAUUAGAUCAACAUGUUUUCUACUAAUUAAAAACACCAGGAAUUCACCAUGAACUAAAGCAAAUGCAUGAAUCUAGAAAGAUGUAUGUAAUAGGCAAUGCACCUAACUAAACAUGGCAAGACCAUGCCUUUACACAAACAACACACUUAACCAUUUCAGAACAUAUCAUUACAUCCUAAGUCACACUAGAACACAUCAAAACAAGCUAAAGCACUCGAAGACACAUCAAUUCACUAAAAAACUCAACAACUACAACAAUGUAACUAGUCACACCCUAAUAACUACCAACUAAACUCAAACACUCCAAAAUCACUGAAUCAAAUUAAAACAUAUCAACUCAAAUUCAAACAGUCAAAACACACUCAAACAACAAAGUCACACACAAGAAAAUGUUAGAAAGUUGGGUUGCCUCCCAGUAAGCGC
Molecule: long non-coding RNA, 1123 nt
Filed under: Vigna radiata
Lineage: Eukaryota; Viridiplantae; Streptophyta; Magnoliopsida; Fabales; Fabaceae
Description: long non-coding RNA (VRAD_LNC006234)
Source: RNAcentral